GAUGAACGCUGGCGGCGUGCCUAAUACAUGCAAGUCGAGCGAACAGACGAGAAGCUUGCUUCUCUGAUGUUAGCGGCGGACGGGUGAGUAACACGUGGAUAACCUACCUAUAAGACUGGGAUAACUUCGGGAAACCGGAGCUAAUACCGGAUGAUAUUUUGAACCGCAUGGUUCAAUAGUGAAAGACGGUCUUGCUGUCACUUAUAGAUGGAUCCGCGCUGCAUUAGCUAGUUGGUAAGGUAACGGCUUACCAAGGCAACGAUGCAUAGCCGACCUGAGAGGGUGAUCGGCCACACUGGAACUGAGACACGGUCCAGACUCCUACGGGAGGCAGCAGUAGGGAAUCUUCCGCAAUGGGCGAAAGCCUGACGGAGCAACGCCGCGUGAGUGAUGAAGGUCUUCGGAUCGUAAAACUCUGUUAUUAGGGAAGAACAAAUGUGUAAGUAACUGUGCACGUCUUGACGGUACCUAAUCAGAAAGCCACGGCUAACUACGUG
Molecule: ribosomal RNA, 497 nt
Filed under: uncultured bacterium
Lineage: Bacteria
Description: partial 16S ribosomal RNA
Rfam family: Bacterial small subunit ribosomal RNA
Source: RNAcentral